GCCAUUCUCAGUUCGGAUUGUAGGCUGAAACUCGCCUACAUGAAGCUGGAGUUACUAGUAAUCGCAGAUCAGAAUGCUGCGGUGAAUGCGUUCCCGGGUCUUGUACACACCGCCCGUCACACCACGGAAGCUGGGGGCGCCCGAAGCCACUUAGCUAACCCUUUUGGGAAGCGAGUGUCGAAGGUGAAAUCAAUAACUGGGGUGAAGUCGUAACAAGGUAUC
RNAcentral lists this ribosomal RNA (222 nucleotides) under uncultured bacterium. RNAcentral describes it as "partial 16S ribosomal RNA". It matches the Rfam family "Bacterial small subunit ribosomal RNA", at positions 1281 to 1500 of the family's 1533-position model. The record is from RNAcentral.